ACGACCUUACUUGAACAGGAUCCUUUACCAAUAAGGAGGCAAGCACUUCAGUAUGGUUGAUGAAGUCUGACCACUGGGCCAGAGCGUGAUUAACGGCUCAGAUUUUACCUGAUCGGUAAAUCUGACGGCUGUAGAGGAUCGUUCCUGCCUGGCUCACACCUGUGCAGGGCGGCCCAGUGGUUGUCUGACAGACA
Molecule: small nucleolar RNA, 194 nt
Filed under: Aegilops tauschii subsp. strangulata
Lineage: Eukaryota; Viridiplantae; Streptophyta; Magnoliopsida; Poales; Poaceae
Description: snoRNA Plant_U3
Rfam family: Plant small nucleolar RNA U3
About the family: Small nucleolar RNAs (snoRNAs) are involved in the processing and modification of rRNA in the nucleolus.
Source: Rfam by way of RNAcentral